AUUUCAAAGAGGGCUUGUGGAACCAAAAGCAAGAGCUCUUAACACUGAAGUUCUCCACAAGAUCUAAUAUUCGCUCAAUAGUUUUAUCUUUUCCUGAGGAAAUAUAGGA
This is a small nucleolar RNA of Ursus americanus (American black bear), 109 nucleotides long. The record is from Ensembl. NCBI's taxonomy places the organism in Eukaryota, Metazoa, Chordata, Mammalia, Carnivora, Ursidae.